This 165-nucleotide ribosomal RNA is filed under the name uncultured bacterium. Its description in RNAcentral is "partial 16S rRNA". It matches the Rfam family "Bacterial small subunit ribosomal RNA", at positions 355 to 511 of the family's 1533-position model. The record is from RNAcentral.
UAGGGAAUCUUCCACAAUGGGCGAAAGCCUGAUGGAGCAAACGCCGCGUGUGUGAUGAAGGGUUUCGGCUCGUAAAACACUGUUGUAAGAGAAGAAUGACAUUGAGAGUAACUGUUCAAUGUGUGACGGUAUCUUACCAGAAAGGAACGGCUAAAUACGUGCCAC